This is an RNA transcript of Pyrus x bretschneideri (Chinese white pear), 686 nucleotides long. It is a transcript of the gene named 60S acidic ribosomal protein P3-2, with no coding region annotated. NCBI's taxonomy places the organism in Eukaryota, Viridiplantae, Streptophyta, Magnoliopsida, Rosales, Rosaceae. The transcript has 3 exons. The record is from RefSeq and is a predicted model, not a curated record.
UAGAGGAAAAACGCAGCAUAAAGUGCGGUCUCAAAGCGCCAAACUCUUGUAUACAGAAAGCUGCAUUGGUGUUAGGGUUUUCGAUUCGCCAUGGGAGUGUUCACCUUCGUGUUGAGGACCUCCGGGGGAGAGUGGUCCGCCAAACAGCAGAAUGGAGACCUUGAGGCCUCCGCUCCCUCCACAUUCGAGCUCCAGAGGAAGCUCGUCCAGUCCGCUCUAUCUUCCGAGUCCUCCGGCGGUGUCCAGACCUCGUACUCACCUGUCACUCCCACCUCUGCCGUUUUCCAGGUGAUCAUUGGUGGUGGUGGUGGUGGUGGCGGUGGUGCCUUCAUUGGAGGUGGAGCUGCUGCUGCUGCUCCUGGAGGUGGUGCAGCGGCUGCUGCAGAGGCUCCCCCGGCUGAGGAGAAGAAGGAAGAGAAGGAGGAGAGCGACGAUGACAUGGGAUUCUCUCUUUUUGAUUAAUCUAGUCAUAACUCACUUGUUACCGAGUCAUAUAUUAUCUCGUAAUCUUUACCAGUUUCUCUUUUCUUUUCUUUUUUAAAUGGUUUGUGGUUAUGUUGGAAGUCGUAUCCUCUGUUUGGCUUUGUUUCUGCAUUUUUCGAUUUAUUUUUACCUUCCUCGGAGGACGUUCUGUCGUUCUUAAAGACAGGUUUUCUUCGAAUCAAUCCACUAAACUUUUUCCCCGU